AUAGUAGGAACCUACCAUGUCCAGUCCAGCCCCCCCAGCACUCGUCGCCCCUAGCCAGCAGGAAGUAGCUACGGAAGAGAGGACCGUCGCCCCAUCCCAUUUAAAAAAGGCUGGAAUGAUAGGUUCCCAGGAAGAUGGAGACAGGACUCUCCCCUCCGCCCCAAUGUGACUGUUCACCUUGGAGACCUGUGGACGGCGCCUACAGAAUUGGCUUGAUCCAUAGAAACCAAAUGAACGCCCUGCAAUCAAAAUUUACUAUGGCUGUUCUUAUACAACAAAUAAGUGAAAAUGGGAGGAGAUGUUGGAAACCACUGAACUGCUGAAUUCUGC
This 330-nucleotide long non-coding RNA is filed under the name Sus scrofa (pig). RNAcentral's name for it is "lncRNA (ENSSSCG00000044004.2, ENSSSCG00065064164.1)". The record is from RNAcentral. Lineage: Eukaryota; Metazoa; Chordata; Mammalia; Artiodactyla; Suidae.